CGGCCGUGGCCCAGCUGUGGGAGGACGAGUGGGAGGUGCUGCUGAUCUCCCUGCAGGGCACAGCGCCAUUCCUGCAUGUGGGGGCCCUGGCAGCAGUCACCAUGCUCUCCUGGAUCGUGGCAGGACAGUUUGCCCGCGCAGAGCGGACCUCCUCCCAGGUGACCAUUCUCUGUACCUUCUUCACCGUGGUGUUUGCCCUCUACCUGGCCCCUCUCACCAUCUCCUCUCCCUGCAUCAUGGAGAAGAAGGACCUCGGCCCCAAGCCUGCUCUCAUUGGCCACCGUGGGGCCCCCAUGCUGGCUCCAGAGCACACACUCAUGUCCUUCCGGAAGGCCCUCGAGCAGAAGCUGUAUGGGCUCCAGGCUGACAUUACCAUCAGCCUGGACGGUGUGCCCUUCCUCAUGCACGACGCCACCCUGCGGCGCACCACCAAUGUGGAGGAGGAGUUCCCGGAGCUGGCCCGCAGGCCUGCCUCCAUGCUCAACUGGACCACCCUGCAGAGACUCAACGCUGGCCAGUGGUUCCUGAAGGUCUGGCUGCACCUGAUCCCAAUCUUAGGCAUGGAAAACACCAGCAGGGACUGCAAGGAGUGAGAGGUGCAAG
RNAcentral lists this small RNA (603 nucleotides) under Pongo abelii (Sumatran orangutan). Its description in RNAcentral is "processed transcript". Lineage: Eukaryota; Metazoa; Chordata; Mammalia; Primates; Hominidae. The record is from RNAcentral.